RNAcentral lists this long non-coding RNA (1040 nucleotides) under Brachypodium distachyon (stiff brome). RNAcentral describes it as "long non-coding RNA (BDIS_LNC005674)". The record is from RNAcentral. Lineage: Eukaryota; Viridiplantae; Streptophyta; Magnoliopsida; Poales; Poaceae.
ACGACAAGAAUGAUCUGCCCACCACAAGUUGAGUACGAGUACGAGGUGCACCAGGAUAGCCUAAGACGAGUCCGACACGUCUAAGGGGUGCGCGGACCUGCGAGUCCUAGUUUAAGCCAAGUCCUAUUCGGAAUGGUUGUAUGAGUUGAGUCGAACCUAGUUUGAGUCUGAGUCCGUUUGUGUGUUUGGCUGCCCCUCGCCUAUGGGGUACGCCAAGGGUUAGAGUUAGACCACGUUUUAGCUAUUUUUGAGAAUUGCGAGAAGCAUUCAUCUGGAAUCCUAUACACCAUAUUCGUUUCGAUAGGGUGUUUGUUAUCUACUGAAAUUUCGAGCGUAAUCUGUCAUUCCGCUAGGAAUCGGAAGAUUGCGAAACAGCUUCUGGUCGGCGGACUACUGCGCAAGUGUGUGGUGUUGUGAAUUCCCAUUGGGUUGCAAGUUCGUCGUGCGGCGACGGGUGAACAGCCGGAAGAUUUGUAAAAUCAUACAAGUUAUCCACGUUGCUCUCUGAAAAGAUCGGGCCACCCCUUAUCACCAUAGGAACAUGAAAAAAAUAGAGGUCCUGAAAGAGUGAAAGAGAGAAGUAAGCAAAGAAGGAAAAAAUAACAAGAAAAACAAAAAGGUCCUUUGUCGAAGGCUAUUUUGGAUCAAACAAGGGCAGCGGCAAAAAAAGAAAACAAAUUAAAAGCCCACCCGGUUUUAACUAGGACCGAAUAGGGUUCAAGAGAAUCCACCAAGUCAAACCACAGCUCAGGACGAACAGGGCGACGUGAUUUUAUCGCGUUCCGUACUACCUACGGCGGCCCAAAUUUAACCGGGCCCACAGGGUAGUGGACUGAGUUGUCAGUAGCAUGCAUGUGUGUCAAGGAGUUCGGGAACUGGGGUGAAGGAACCCUUUUAUGUUGGUCUGAUCACUCUAAAUUGGCGAGGUGGGACUGAAGUACCACCCCGAGCCGGUCGCCGAAGCGUGUCGUUCGCGCGCUGCUAGGCCGCAAACAGGGGAAAGGCCAAGGCCAGCCUGUUAAGUGGAUGGCCGCACAGGC